This 459-nucleotide ribosomal RNA is filed under the name Vermamoeba vermiformis. RNAcentral's name for it is "SSU rRNA". It matches the Rfam family "Eukaryotic small subunit ribosomal RNA", at positions 1214 to 1674 of the family's 1831-position model. Lineage: Eukaryota; Tubulinea; Echinamoebida; Vermamoebidae. The record is from RNAcentral.
UUUACGAGGUCAGGACACUGUGAGGAUUGACAGAUUGAAAGCUCUUUCUUGAUUCAGUGGGUGGUGGUGCAUGGCCGUUCUUAGUUGGUGGAGUGAUUUGUCUGGUUAAUUCCGUUAACGAACGAGACCUUAACCUGCUAAAUAGUCACGCGAACCGGUCCGCAAGGGCUCAAAGUUCGCGGCUCGACUUCUUAGAGGGACUAUUCGCACCCGCCAGCGAAUGGAAGUUUGAGGCAAUAACAGGUCUGUGAUGCCCUUAGAUGUUCUCGGCCCGCACGCGCGUUACACUGACGGAGUCAACGAGCGUUUUUCCUUGCCCGAUAGGGUUGGGUAACCUCCUGAAACUCCGUCGUGAUGGGGAUAGAUCAUUGCAAUUAUUGAUCUUGAACGAGGAAUUCCCUAGUAGGCGCGAGUCAUCAACUCGCGCCGAUUACUCCCUGUUCUUUGUACACGCCCCCU